RNAcentral lists this ribosomal RNA (468 nucleotides) under Triticum aestivum (bread wheat). RNAcentral's name for it is "partial small subunit ribosomal RNA". The record is from RNAcentral. Lineage: Eukaryota; Viridiplantae; Streptophyta; Magnoliopsida; Poales; Poaceae.
AUGGGCGUCCAAGAGGCACUCCUUGCCGGAUCACGCUGCUGCUGGCGUAAUCCAGGCCGGAUCUGUGGAGAGCCCGGCGCAGCACCGUCUACAGAUCCAUAUCUCUUACAGUCUUACUCUACCUUAUUCCUUGUAUUUGGCAAUGUUGGCUCUUGGGCUGCCCAAUUGAUAACUGAAGCUGGUGGCAAGGUGGUCUCCAUCAGAGAUGUCACAGGGGCUGUCAAGAACUCCAAUGGCGUUGACAUAGCCAAGCUGAUGAAGCACUCGGCAAAGAACCGCGGGAUCAAGGGCUCCGACAAAAGGCGACGCCGUCGACCCGACCUCGCUGCUCACGGAAGAGUGCGACGUGCUCAUCCCGGCAGCUCUGGGACAAUGUUGAUGCCAUCAAAGCAAAGUACAUCAUCGAAGCUGCUAACCACCCAACAGACCCCAAGGCCGAAGAGAUUCUGGCAAAGAAGGACGUGCUGA